This 449-nucleotide ribosomal RNA is filed under the name uncultured bacterium. Its description in RNAcentral is "partial 16S ribosomal RNA". It matches the Rfam family "Bacterial small subunit ribosomal RNA", at positions 29 to 523 of the family's 1533-position model. The record is from RNAcentral.
AACGAACGCUGGCGGCAUGCCUAACACAUGCAAGUCGAACGAUCACUUCGGUGAUAGUGGCGCACGGGUGCGUAACGCGUGGGAAUCUGCCCUGGGGUACGGAAUAACUCAGAGAAAUUUGAGCUAAUACCGUAUGAUGACGUAAGUCCAAAGAUUUAUCGCCCUGGGAUGAGCCCGCGUCGGAUUAGCUAGUUGGUGAGGUAAAGGCUCACCAAGGCGACGAUCCGUAGCUGGUCUGAGAGGAUGAUCAGCCACACUGGGACUGAGACACGGCCCAGACUCCUACGGGAGGCAGCAGUGGGGAAUAUUGGACAAUGGGCGAAAGCCUGAUCCAGCAAUGCCGCGUGAGUGAUGAAGGCCCUAGGGUUGUAAAGCUCUUUUACCCGGGAUGAUAAUGACAGUACCGGGAGAAUAAGCCCCGGCUAACUCCGUGCCAGCAGCCGCGGUAA